This 253-nucleotide ribosomal RNA is filed under the name uncultured bacterium. RNAcentral's name for it is "partial 16S ribosomal RNA". It matches the Rfam family "Bacterial small subunit ribosomal RNA", at positions 524 to 776 of the family's 1533-position model. The record is from RNAcentral.
UACGGGGGGAGCAAGCGUUAUUCGGAAUUAUUGGGCGUAAAGGGCGCGUAGGCGGCUUGGCAAGUGGAUGGUGAAAUCCCUCGGCUUAACCGAGGAACUGCCGUCCAAACUGCUUCGCUUGAGACCGGGAGAGGUGAGUGGAAUUCCCAGUGUAGCGGUGAAAUGCGUAGAUAUUGGGAGGAACACCAGUGGCGAAGGCGGCUCACUGGACCGGUACUGACGCUGAUGCGCGAAAGCGUGGGGAGCAAACGGG